ACUGGACCUUCCCAGGCAGCUGUGGGCUGCAGGUGGAAGAUGCCUCUUGCCUCCACAGCAGCCACCAGCCCUGCCUGGCUGUAUCACACUGCAACACAACACCCAGAGGACACCCUGGUGAAAAUGAGCACACCUAGCUCCUAGACCUUGUGUUGAAGAAACAUUCUGCUCUAAAGGAACCCCGGAGAAGUGGUGGAAUCCAGGGCUAGGGCAGUGAAAGUGUAAGCUGGAUUUGGAGCAGAUUGUAGUGGCAGAGAGCAAGGAAGUGCUCAAAAAGGAUGGGGACAUGUUGGAGGACGCGGGAGCCAGGCUGACAGCAUCAGUAUAAGCAAUGACAGUAACGGAUUAUAACUUCCUGAAUAAAGCAAAAACCUGCAAGCCCAUAUCGCAACAGACAAAUGAGACCGGGAACCAACAAUUCUUCCUUGCAGUAGAAUGUCAACCAAUAAAUGGAGAACAAGA
Herpailurus yagouaroundi (jaguarundi) is the source of this 462-nucleotide long non-coding RNA. RefSeq lists it as uncharacterized. Lineage: Eukaryota; Metazoa; Chordata; Mammalia; Carnivora; Felidae. The transcript has 2 exons. The record is from RefSeq and is a predicted model, not a curated record.